RNAcentral lists this ribosomal RNA (357 nucleotides) under uncultured Fusibacter sp. RNAcentral describes it as "bacterial SSU rRNA". It matches the Rfam family "Bacterial small subunit ribosomal RNA", at positions 1027 to 1382 of the family's 1533-position model. The record is from RNAcentral. Lineage: Bacteria; Bacillati; Bacillota; Clostridia; Eubacteriales; Fusibacteraceae.
AAUUGAGACAGGUGGUGCGAUGGUUGUCGUCAGCUCGUGUCGUGAGAUGUUGGGUUAAGUCCCGCAACGAGCGCAACCCUUGUGUUUAGUUGCAAACAGGUCAAGCUGUGCACUCUAGACAGACUGCCGUGGACAACACGGAGGAAGGUGGGGAUGACGUCAAAUCAUCAUGCCCCUUAUGAUCUGGGCUACACACGUGCUACAAUGGCCGGUACAACGGGCAGCGAAGGAGCGAUCCGGAGCGAAUCCUAAAAAGCCGGUCCCAGUUCGGAUUGCAGGCUGAAACUCGCCUACAUGAAGUUGGAGUUGCUAGUAAUCGCGAAUCAGAAUGUCGCGGUGAAUGCGUUCCCGGGUCUU